Long non-coding RNA from Pipra filicauda (Wire-tailed manakin), 2639 nucleotides. RefSeq lists it as uncharacterized. Lineage: Eukaryota; Metazoa; Chordata; Aves; Passeriformes; Pipridae. The record is from RefSeq and is a predicted model, not a curated record. The transcript has 2 exons.
AAUAGAGGCAAGGACAGAGAAGAGGUCCUGCUCCGGUGACAGGUCGAAAUCGAACGGAACGAAAAGCGCGCUAAACCAGUUCCUCUCUGCUGGACAGAAGGUAAACGCGAUUGCGGAAUAGGGCGAGGUUUGAAUGCUCGGAGGCCAAAGAGAGAGCUUCCUCCGAUCGAAACAAAAAGGCUGCUUUAAGCACCUAGGGGCCAAAAAUAGCUUCGAAACAAAAACGACGGGCAAAUAACUGCCCUGAACAAAAGACUGCUUAGGAAAUGGGAUCUAAGAUGUCCUCAGAGAAAAAGACAGUUUACGAACUGAUGAAAUGCCUCCUUAAACAACACAGGCUCGAAUUAGAUGACUUUUCCUUGCAAAACUUGCUGCUGUAGGACGCAGCGCCACUGCAAGUGGGAAGAGAGCGCCAAAAUAGUGGCAGCUCCUCGGCACCGCUACUGCCGGAGGCGCCGCCCCUUAAGUCUCUACGGCCGCGGCCGCCGCCGCUUACUACCGCUGCCAGCAGCAGCCGCCGCUGCCGGGGGGGGCUGGCCGCCGCCCGUCUCGCCUUCCAGCUUCCAGCUCUGCCGUCGCCGCCAACCCGCGCAUGGUCGGGGUGCGAGCGAGCGCCAGCGAGCUGCCGCACUGCCUCAGCAAGUUCCCGUGUCGCCGCCUGCUACCGCUGCCAAUGGCGGCUGCUGCCCAGCGGGGGCUGCUCGCCGCCUACCUCGUCGACCUACAGUUUCCAGCCUCUCCGCCGCGGCGGAACCCGAGCCGGCCCGCGACCCCCCGCCUCUCUGAGUCGCCCGUCCCCGACAAGCGCCCAGCCCGUCGAACUCGUUCUCCGAUCGGAAGAGCUGCCUGACCGCCUCCCUCAGCGAUUCCGAGCCGCCCAGCCUGGAGGACUCAGACUGCCGCCAGCCGCCUCUCCAUCUCCGACAACUGAGGGGGGAUGGGGAACCAGCCGUGGGGGGGUCCCACGUCGACCCUGCACCACGUGAAAAGAUUCCCUGAUAAUUCGUAUGAGGACUCAUACAAGAUUUCAUAUGAAUCGAAUCUGGUUAUACUAAGAAAACUCACGGUAUUUUUUUAAAAAAAAACAUCAAUAAGUUGCCAUUUUAAAUAUGUAUUUGCCUCAUUAUUCUCACUUUGACACUCAUCAUACACCAUUGACAGACUGCAGAGAUACAAAAGGACUAGGAAGUUGUAAACAAGACCUCAUAGGUGUGACUACUAUAGAAAGCACAUUUGUUUCACCAAUGCUUAGGUUGCAUCUAGUCCCUGAAAUCAAGAACAUAGAUGCCUGAUUUUUAUGACCUUUGUUGUGUCUCUCUAUGUCCUUACCACAAUGUAGGUAUGUGCUUGUGUUAAAAGCCAGUCUGUUUUCUUCACUUUCAGAUUUCUGAACCUUAAUUUUAGGGGGUUUAAUUUUGAUCGCCUAAUUUGGCUUGAGAAAUACAUGGUUGCCAGUUAUAGGAACUACAAAGGUGACAAGCUAUUACAUACAGAUUUGAUUUGAAGUGUUUUCUGGUUAAUUCAAUGGAAACAGGUUUAACAAAGCAGAGUUUUUACGGAUUAAGGUGGACAGUAAGACUUCCAUAUUUUUCUUAAAACUGACUAUAAAGAUAUGCAGAAUGCUUUUACAUUGAUAUGAUUCCUUCAUAUGUCUUUAUAAUGCCAACCUUUGUGGCCCAAAUUAUUCUGACAUGUAAUGCCUUCGUAUAACUAUACUUUCCAUGUAAGAGGGGCACAUGAGUGUAGGAAGCAAGAAGCAAUGGUAAAAUGGUUAAAAUUAGUUCCAAUAUUUUGUUGACAUAUUUGGCUUUGUGAUUACUGUAAGUGGCAUAAAGUUGCUUGAAACAUUUUUUCAGGUAUAUAAAGAGCUGUACAUUGUCUGGAAAAAGAGGCCUUCUUGCUAAAUUAAUUUUUACUUGUGGUGUUAAAAGUAAGGCUGAAGUGUUUCUUGUUAAAUCCAUUUAAGAAUACUUUUGCUUCUAAGAUGCAGCUAUAGAUUUUUGUUAUUAGCUCAUUCUGAAUUGAUACAUCAAAGCAUUGAUAAGUUAAAGAAACUUUCAGCUCAACUUACAGAAGACAAUAAUCAAGGCUUAGGUGGCAUAUUUAGUUCGCUUAAUAUGUUUAGUAUAGUACCCUAGUUAAAGAAAGCAUUUAUAGUAAUAUUAAUGGGCCUGUUUGUAUUUUUUUGUAUUAUGCUUUGUAUUCUCUGUUUAUUAUCUUGUAUACAACACGUGGUUAAUUGCAGUUUUGUGGAAAGCCUCAAUCUCGCAGCUUGAAAACAAAAAGGGGGAGAUGUUGGAGUAUAAAUUCUUUAUGACACAGAAAUCUUAGCCAGAAACCAUGGGAUUUAAACAAAGACAAGGAAAGUCUGUUUACAUCCACUCCCUGAAAUUCUUACAUUAUCUUUUAAUUAAGCAGACUUGUAGGCUCCAUAGGUAAAUCCCUUUAUCACUUUGUUUGCCCCAUCUGCCUUGUGAUUGUGAUAAAGAAAUAUCUGUUUAUCUGUUUGAAGAAAAAUAUCUCCCUGUGUUUCGUGGACCUUUAACCCCAGCUAUGAAUGGAAUGUUUGUCCCUCUUUCCCAAAACCCUAUAUAUACCAAAGUUGUGAUGAAUAAAGCAUUCAAUUUUGUACACACAAA